GGGCGGCGUGCUUACCAUGCAGUCGAACGAUGAUGCCCAGCUUGCUGGGCGGAUUAGUGGCGAACGGGUGAGUAAUACGUGAGUAACCUGCCCUUGACUCUGGGAUAAGCCUGGGAAACUGGGUCUAAUACUGGAUACUACCGUCCACCGCAUGGUGGGUGGUGGAAAGGGUUUUACUGGUUUUGGAUGGGCUCACGGCCUAUCAGCUUGUUGGUGGGGUAAUGGCUCACCAAGGCGACGACGGGUAGCCGGCCUGAGAGGGUGACCGGCCACACUGGGACUGAGACACGGCCCAGACUCCUACGGGAGGCAGCAGUGGGGAAUAUUGCACAAUGGGCGGAAGCCUGAUGCAGCGACGCCGCGUGAGGGAUGACGGCCUUCGGGUUGUAAACCUCUUUCAGUAGGGAAGAAGCGAGAGUGACGGUACCUGCAGAAGAAGCGCCGGCUAACUACGUGCCAGCAGCCGCGGUAAUACGUAGGGCGCAAGCGUUGUCCGGAAUUAUUGGGCGUAAAGAGCUCGUAGGCGGUUUGUCGCGUCUGCUGUGAAAGCCCGGGGCUCAACCCCGGGUCUGCAGUGGGUACGGGCAGACUAGAGUGCAGUAGGGGAGACUGGAAUUCCUGGUGUAGCGGUGAAAUGCGCAGAUAUCAGGAGGAACACCGAUGGCGAAGGCAGGUCUCUGGGCUGUUACUGACGCUGAGGAGCGAAAGCAUGGGGAGCGAACAGGAUUAGAUACCCUGGUAGUCCAUGCCGUAAACGUUGGGCACUAGGUGUGGGGGACAUUCCACGUUUUCCGCGCCGUAGCUAACGCAUUAAGUGCCCCGCCUGGGGAGUACGGCCGCAAGGCUAAAACUCAAAGGAAUUGACGGGGGCCCGCACAAGCGGCGGAGCAUGCGGAUUAAUUCGAUGCAACGCGAAGAACCUUACCAAGGCUUGACAUUCACCGGACCGCCCCAGAGAUGGGGUUUCCCUUCGGGGCUGGUGGACAGGUGGUGCAUGGUUGUCGUCAGCUCGUGUCGUGAGAUGUUGGGUUAAGUCCCGCAACGAGCGCAACCCUCGUUCUAUGUUGCCAGCACGUGAUGGUGGGGACUCAUAGGAGACUGCCGGGGUCAACUCGGAGGAAGGUGGGGAUGACGUCAAAUCAUCAUGCCCCUUAUGUCUUGGGCUUCACGCAUGCUACAAUGGCCGGUACAAAGGGUUGCGAUACUGUGAGGUGGAGCUAAUCCCAAAAAGCCGGUCUCAGUUCGGAUUGAGGUCUGCAACUCGACCUCAUGAAGUCGGAGUCGCUAGUAAUCGCAGAUCAGCAACGCUGCGGUGAAUACGUUCCCGGGCCUUGUACACACCGCCCGUCAAGUCACGAAAGUUGGUAACACCCGAAGCCGGUGGCCUAACCCCUUGUGGGAGGGAGCCGUCGAAGGUGACGCAGU
RNAcentral lists this ribosomal RNA (1425 nucleotides) under Kocuria rosea subsp. polaris. Its description in RNAcentral is "bacterial SSU rRNA". It matches the Rfam family "Bacterial small subunit ribosomal RNA". The record is from RNAcentral. RNAcentral also lists the same sequence under 1 other name. Lineage: Bacteria; Bacillati; Actinomycetota; Actinomycetes; Micrococcales; Micrococcaceae.